This 425-nucleotide ribosomal RNA is filed under the name uncultured bacterium. RNAcentral's name for it is "bacterial SSU rRNA". It matches the Rfam family "Bacterial small subunit ribosomal RNA", at positions 354 to 796 of the family's 1533-position model. The record is from RNAcentral.
GUGGGGAAUAUUGGACAAUGGGCGCAAGCCUGAUCCAGCAAUGCCGCGUGGGUGAAGAAGGUCUUCGGAUCGUAAAGCCCUUUCGACAGGGACGAUGAUGACGGUACCUGUAGAAGAAGCCCCGGCUAACUUCGUGCCAGCAGCCGCGGUAAUACGAAGGGGGCUAGCGUUACUCGGAAUUACUGGGCGUAAAGGGCGCGUAGGCGGCUCUGUUAGUCAGGCGUGAAAUUCCUGGGCUUAACCUGGGGACUGCGCUUGAUACUGCAGGGCUUGAGGCCGAGAGAGGGUGGUGGAAUUCCCAGUGUAGAGGUGAAAUUCGUAGAUAUUGGGAAGAACACCGGUGGCGAAGGCGACCACCUGGCUCGGUUCUGACGCUGAGGCGCGACAGCGUGGGGAGCAAACAGGAUUAGAUACCCUGGUAGUCC